Molecule: ribosomal RNA, 205 nt
Filed under: uncultured bacterium
Lineage: Bacteria
Description: partial 16S ribosomal RNA
Rfam family: Bacterial small subunit ribosomal RNA
Source: RNAcentral
CGUAGGUGGGCAGGUAAGUCAGUGGUGAAAUCUCCGGGCUUAACCCGGAAACUGCCAUUGAUACUAUCUGUCUUGAAUACCGUGGAGGUGAGCGGAAUAUGUCAUGUAGCGGUGAAAUGCUUAGAUAUGACAUAGAACACCAAUUGCGAAGGCAGCUCACUACGCGAAUAUUGACACUGAGGCACGAAAGCGUGGGGAUCAAACA